This 311-nucleotide small nuclear RNA is filed under the name Sorex araneus (European shrew). Its description in RNAcentral is "7SK RNA (ENSSARG00000015102.1)". It matches the Rfam family "7SK RNA". From Rfam's summary of the family: 7SK was discovered as an abundant small nuclear RNA in the mid-70s but a possible function has only recently been suggested. Two independent studies have found that 7SK RNA binds the CDK9/cyclin T complex (known as elongation factor P-TEFb). P-TEFb activates transcription by phosphorylating the C-terminal domain of RNA polymerase II. Lineage: Eukaryota; Metazoa; Chordata; Mammalia; Eulipotyphla; Soricidae. The record is from RNAcentral.
GGAUGUGAGGGCAAUCUGGCUGUGACAUCUGUCACCCCAUUGAUCGCCAGGGUUGAUUCGGCUGAUCUGGCUGUCUAGGCAGGCGUCCCCUUCCUCCCUCACCACUCCAUGCGCGUCCCUCCAUAAGCUGCGUGCUUGGUCGAAGAGGACGGCCUUCCCCGAAUAGAGACGGACCGGUCUUCAGUCGAGAGUAUACGAGUAGCUGCACUCCCCUGCUAGAACUUCCAAACUAAAUUCUAUAUUAAAGAUAAAUACUAGAUUGUCUAAACUAAAAAAAAAUUUCAUACCUGUCAAACAAUGGUAUUUAUUUG